UACGGAAGGCAGCAGUGGGGAAUAUUGCACAAUGGGCGCAAGCCUGAUGCAGCCAUGCCGCGUGUAUGAAGAAGGCCUUCGGGUUGUAAAGUACUUUCAGUCGUGAGGAAGGUGUUAAGGUUAAUAACCUUAGCAAUUGACGUUAGCGACAGAAGAAGCACCGGCUAACUCCGUGCCAGCAGCCGCGGUAAUACGGAGGGUGCGAGCGUUAAUCGGAAUUACUGGGCGUAAAGGGCACGCAGGCGGUUAAUUAAGUUGGAUGUGAAAUCCCCGGGCUUAACCUGGGAAUGGCAUUCAAGACUGGUUAGCUAGAGUCUUGUAGAGGGGGUAGAAUUCCAUGUGUAGCGGUGAAAUGCGUAGAGAUGUGGAGGAAUACCGGUGGCGAAGGCGGCCCCUGGGACAAAGACUGACGCUCAUGUGCGAAAGCGUGGGGAGGCAAAACAAGGGAUUAAGUACCUACCUCGUAAGAACGUACGUCAACGGAACGAACAACCAACGGGAA
This 502-nucleotide ribosomal RNA is filed under the name uncultured bacterium. Its description in RNAcentral is "bacterial SSU rRNA". It matches the Rfam family "Bacterial small subunit ribosomal RNA", at positions 340 to 792 of the family's 1533-position model. The record is from RNAcentral.